GUGCGGCUCCUCUUCCAGAUAUUGAACCCUGAACCACGCGGGACGUGGAGGGAAACAUUUACGACAUCUGGCGCCUGAGGGGAACUCUGGAAGUGAAGGUUUUGCUAGAGCGAAAAAACGAAGUUUCACUGGCAAAGUGAGGAACAAAGAAUUCACCGUAAAGAUAUUGAACCCUGAACCACGCGGGACGUGGAGGGAAACAUUUACGACAACCCAGUGAGAAAAUUUUGAAGGGAAACACUGAAAAAUAGAAGCAAGAAAUUUUCUAAACCAUUUUAAGAAAGAAAA
Myotis brandtii (Brandt's bat) is the source of this 288-nucleotide long non-coding RNA. RefSeq lists it as uncharacterized. The record is from RefSeq and is a predicted model, not a curated record. NCBI's taxonomy places the organism in Eukaryota, Metazoa, Chordata, Mammalia, Chiroptera, Vespertilionidae. The transcript is spliced from 2 exons.